UAACACGAAAACGACGCACCUGUGACAGCUGUUGAUAAGAUGAACGGUAUAUAAGUGCCGACAGUCUUCCACUGCUUCAUACGUAUUCUUACAGCAAGAUGAUGACCAAGUUGGUUGUGUUCUCUCUACUUGUUGCCACUGCGCUUGUGACCGUCUCGGCUGCGGUUACAUGCGCAAGUUUGGUGAGUGCGUCAUCCCCAUUCAAUGAGGAGUAUACUUGUAAUGCCUUCUGCGAAGACGAUAACAAAGACGCGGGAAAGUGCAUUAACGGAAAUUGCAUGUGCAGGACCGGUAGCACGUGGUCUGGUUACGUUGUUGGCUAACAAGCCAGGAAGGAGACUAAGACAAAGUGAUGUCAGUGAUAUGUAUUUAUCAAAUAAAACUUUUACAAUUUUCA
Long non-coding RNA from Dreissena polymorpha, 397 nucleotides. RefSeq lists it as uncharacterized. Lineage: Eukaryota; Metazoa; Mollusca; Bivalvia; Myida; Dreissenidae. The record is from RefSeq and is a predicted model, not a curated record. The transcript has 3 exons.